UAGGGAAUCUUCCGCAAUGGGGGGAACCCUGACCGAGCAACGCCGCGUGAGUGAAGAAGGUUUUCGGAUCGUAAAGCUCUGUUGUUAAGGAAGAACGAGUGUGAGAAUGGAAAGUUCAUACUGUGACGGUACUUAACCAGAAAGGGACGGCUAACUACGUGCCAGCAGCCGCGGUAAUACGUAGGUCCCGAGCGUUGUCCGGAUUUAUUGGGCGUAAAGCGAGCGCAGGCGGUUAGAUAAGUCUGAAGUUAAAGGCAGUGGCUCAACCAUUGUAGGCUUUGGAAACUGUUUAACUUGAGUGCAGAAGGGGAGAGUGGAAUUCCAUGUGUAGCGGUGAAAUGCGUAGAUAUAUGGAGGAACACCGGUGGCGAAAGCGGCUCUCUGGUCUGUAACUGACGCUGAGGCUCGAAAGCGUGGGGAGCGAACAGG
RNAcentral lists this ribosomal RNA (429 nucleotides) under Bacteroidota bacterium. Its description in RNAcentral is "Bacteroidetes bacterium partial 16S ribosomal RNA". It matches the Rfam family "Bacterial small subunit ribosomal RNA", at positions 355 to 776 of the family's 1533-position model. The record is from RNAcentral. Lineage: Bacteria; Pseudomonadati; Bacteroidota.